Molecule: long non-coding RNA, 1845 nt
Organism: Bicyclus anynana (squinting bush brown)
Lineage: Eukaryota; Metazoa; Arthropoda; Insecta; Lepidoptera; Nymphalidae
Exons: 2
Source: RefSeq, a predicted model, not a curated record
AGUUAUAGGGCAUAUUCCAAAUCUGUAAAAAUGGUUAAUAUUGAGCAUAUUAUAAAAUACAAACAUCACUAUUUAUGUGUAGUUUGUGUACUAAGAUAAUAUAGUGGACAGACAAGCUUCGCUUUGACUCAGUCCCUAUUCCUUUCCUAUUCUACACCCACCCAUUGGCUUGUCUAGUAUUAUUUCCUAUUCCUAUUCUGUAGCUCAGAAUCCUAGGAUUCCUAGGGUGGGCAUGCACCAAUGGAAUAUGUAAAUGUACCUAAGAGCGAUGACGAUAGAGUUCGUUCGCUUAAUCAUACUUUUAAAAAUGAAAUUCGAUUCCUUUUUGCUUAAUAGCCAGCAAACUUAACUAAACCACACACAUAGGCCCUGGAACACAAACAUAUUGGAUACGACAACAUGCAAGAUGUUGCAGAAAUCUACAACAUGUUAAGGUAUUAAAUAUCGUAGGUAGUGAGUUUAUGUCGCUGGACUCUUUGUCUGGUACGUCCAAUGAUAGUGUGUGUUAGACAUUGGAUGCUGGAAGAAAGAUGCUGUUUGAUUCCCAGUUCUUGGAGGAGUGAGAUGUUGUUUCGAAACUGUGUCCAGGGGCCUAAUUGUCUAACGCAAACGAUUGAAUUUGACAGUUGAAAUCGUACGUUUUUACUUGUCAAACGGCUAUUUCGGAUUGUGUAAGCCAAUGGAAAGCCAUCGGUUGGGCAUAGUUAGUUCAUUACGAUUAGAUCGUUAUUUUUAUACGAAGAGUGAAUGAUUUGAUAUGAUUUGACAGUUAUUUGCGAUUGUCUUCGAAUUGUGUAAAGUUUUAUGUUCAUGGCUUAUGUCAAAAACUUACGAUGGGUCUUGACUCUUGAGUCACCUUUGAUCGUAAAACGGACAAAUUGUGGAUGUCCAAAAUUCCAAAAUAAUUAUUUAUAUUUUAUUAAAUAUCUAAAAUUAAUAUUUUUUUCCAUUCUAAAUCUCUCAAUUCAGUCUCCCCGACCACAGUUAGCAUUUUUAGGACGAAACUUGGCGAAGUGUUUAGUGCUUUGUUUGUAAACAAUGAACUCUCUUAGAAAGAGUAAUAAAUAAUAUAUUCUUUGCAGUGAACCUAUAAAGUCAAAACAAUGAAGUUAAUUCAGUGCUAUUAAUCGAUUUAUAUAGGAUGCUGAGACUUGGACUCUGAGAGAAAGUGAGAAAAAGAAGAUACACACUCUAGAAAUGUGUUGUAGAAGAACGCUUGCAUAUCCUGGACACAGUUUCGAAACAACAUCUCACUCCUCCAAGAACUGGGGAUCAAACAGCAUCUUUCUUCCAGCAUCUAAUGUCUUACACACACUUCUUUGGACGUACUAGACAAAGAGACGAUAAGUCCAUAUCCUUAGAGAGACAUAAACUCACUACCUACGAUAUUUAAUACCUUAUCAUGUUGUAGAUUUCUGCGACAUCUUGCAUGUUGUUGUAUCCAAUGUGUUUGGAUUUGUGUUCCUGGGCUUAUGUGUGUGGUUUAGUUAAGUUUACUUAAGUUUGCUGGCUAUUAAGCAAAAAGGAAUCGAAUUUCAUUUUUAAAAGUAUGAUUAUGCCAAACGAACUCUUUCGUCAUCGCUCAUAGGAGAUUUGGAAUAUGCCCUAUAACUGCAGACUCCAAUAUUGCAAAUAGCACCUGCAAUACAGUGGAAUAACAUAUUGGUGUGCUGAAGAAAAGAUGGCAAAGGCUUUUAGCUGAUAGGAUAUUGUAAUGAUGACCCUGUUCUGUUCAAAUCAUAAAUGUGUGUGUAUUAUCAAAAUAUUUGCAUAGAUUGUGAAAUGCUGAUGAUAUUUAAUUUGGUUGGAUUUUGAUAUUUGAAAAUAAAAGAAUACUUACUUUGC